This 460-nucleotide ribosomal RNA is filed under the name uncultured bacterium. RNAcentral's name for it is "partial 16S ribosomal RNA". It matches the Rfam family "Bacterial small subunit ribosomal RNA", at positions 338 to 795 of the family's 1533-position model. The record is from RNAcentral.
CCUACGGGAGGCAGCAGUGAGGAAUAUUGGUCAAUGGGCGGGAGCCUGAACCAGCCAAGCCGCGUGAGGGAAGAAGGUACAGCGUAUCGUAAACCUCUUUUGUCAGGGAACAAAGGCGGGGACUAGUCCCCGGAUGAGGGUACCUGAAGAAAAAGCAUCGGCUAACUCCGUGCCAGCAGCCGCGGUAAUACGGAGGAUGCGAGCGUUAUCCGGAAUCACUGGGCGUAAAGGGCGCGUAGGCGGUAAUAUAAGUCAGAUGUGAAAGGUGGGGGCUCAACCCCUAGAGUGCAACUGAUACUGUAUAACUUGAGUGUGAGAGAGGGAAGCGGAAUUCCUAGUGUAGCGGUGAAAUGCGUAGAUAUUAGGAGGAACACCAGUGGCGAAGGCGGCUUUCUGGCUCAUAACUGACGCUGAGGCGCGAAAGCGUGGGGAGCAAACAGGAUUAGAUACCCUUGUAGUC